GAUAAAAUGGCUGAGGAGUUAGGCAAUAAAUUGUAAAUUUAUGUAGGAAUUUUUAUUAUUCUUUUAUCA
RNAcentral lists this transfer RNA (69 nucleotides) under Staphylinidae sp. BMNH 1274257. Its description in RNAcentral is "tRNA-Tyr". The record is from RNAcentral. Lineage: Eukaryota; Metazoa; Arthropoda; Insecta; Coleoptera; Staphylinidae.